UACGUAGGGUGCAAGCGUUAAUCAGAAUUACUGGGCGUAAAGCGUGCGCAGGCGGUGAUGUAAGACAGGUGUGAAAUCCCCGGGCUUAACCUGGGAACUGCAUUUGUGACUGCAUCGCUGGAGUGCGGCAGAGGGGGAUGGAAUUCCGCGUGUAGCAGUGAAAUGCGUAGAUAUGCGGAGGAACACCGAUGGCGAAGGCAAUCCCCUGGGCCUGCACUGACGCUCAUGCACGAAAGCGUGGGGAGCAAACAGG
This 253-nucleotide ribosomal RNA is filed under the name uncultured bacterium. RNAcentral's name for it is "partial 16S ribosomal RNA". It matches the Rfam family "Bacterial small subunit ribosomal RNA", at positions 524 to 776 of the family's 1533-position model. The record is from RNAcentral.